CAGAUAUCAGGAGGGAACACCGGGUGGGCGAAGGCGGUUCUCUGGACAUUUCCUGGACGCUGGGAAGCGAAAAGCGUGGGUAGCAAACAGGCUUAGAUACCCUGGUAGUCCACGCCGUAAACGGUGGGUACUAGGUGUGGGGGACAUUCCACGUUCUCCGUGCCGUAGCUAACGCAUUAAGUACCCCGCCUGGGGGAGUACGGCCGCAAGGCUAAAACUCAAAGGAAUUGACGGGGCCCCGCACAAGCGGCGGAGCAUGCGGGAUUAAUUCGAUGCAACGCGAAGAACCUUACCUGGGGUUUGACAUAGCCGGAAAGGCCUAGAGAUAGGUCCCCCCUUGGGGGUCGGGUUUACAGGGUGUGCAUGCUGUCGUCAGCUCGUGUCGGAGAUGUUGGUUAAGUCCCGCAACGGGGCGCAACCCUCGUCCUAUGUUGCCAGCGAUAAGCCGGGGACUCAUAGGGGACUGCCGGGGUCAACUCGAGGAAGGCGGGGAUGACGUCAGGUCUUCAUGCCCCUUAGUCCAGGGGCUUCACGCAGCUACAAUGCCGGUACAAAGGGCUGCAAACUGCAAGGUAAGCGAAUCCCAAAAGCCGUCUCAGUUCGGAUUGGGUCUGCAACUCGACCCCAUGAAGUCGCAGUCGCUAGUAAUCGCAGAUCAGCAACGCUGCGGUGAAUACGUUCCCGGGGCUUGUACACACCGCCCGUCAAGUCAU
Molecule: ribosomal RNA, 713 nt
Filed under: uncultured bacterium
Lineage: Bacteria
Description: bacterial SSU rRNA
Rfam family: Bacterial small subunit ribosomal RNA
Source: RNAcentral